UUCCGGUUGAUCCUGCCGGACCUGACUGCUAUCGGAUUGAUACUAAGCCAUGCGAGUCAUUGUAGCAAUACAAGGCAUACGGCUCAGUAACGCGUAGUCAACCUAACCUAUGGACGGGAAUAACCUCGGGAAACUGAGAAUAAUGCCCGAUAGAACAUUAUACCUGGAAUGGUUUAUGUUCCAAAUGAUUUAUCGCCAUAGGAUGGGACUGCGGCCUAUCAGUUUGUUGGUGAGGUAAUGGCCCACCAAGACUAUUACAGGUACGGGCUCUGAGAGGAGUAGCCCGGAGAUGGGUACUGAGACACGGACCCAGGCCCUAUGGGGCGCAGCAGGCGAGAAAACUUUGCAAUGUGCGAAAGCACGACAAGGUUAAUCCGAGUGAUUUCUGCUAAAGAGAUCUUUUGUUAGUCCUAGAAACACUAACGAAUAAGGGGUGGGCAAGUUCUGGUGUCAGCCGCCGCGGUAAAACCAGCACCUCAAGUGGUCAGGAUGAUUAUUGGGCCUAAAGCAUCCGUAGCCGGCUCUGUAAGUUUUCGGUUAAAUCUGUACGCUCAACGUACAGGCUGCCGGGAAUACUGCAGAACUAGGGAGUGGGAGAGGUAGACGGUACUCGGUAGGAAGUGGUAAAAUGCUUUGAUCUAUCGAUGACCACCUGUGGCGAAGGCGGUCUACCAGAACACGUCCGACGGUGAGGGAUGAAAGCUGGGGGAGCAAACCGGAUUAGAUACCCGGGUAGUCCCAGCUGUAAACUAUGCAAACUCAGUGAUGCAUUGGCUUGUGGCCAAUGCAGUGCUGCAGGGAAGCCGUUAAGUUUGCCGCCUGGGAAGUACGUACGCAAGUAUGAAACUUAAAGGAAUUGGCGGGGGAGCACCACAAGGGGUGAAGCCUGCGGUUCAAUUGGAUUCAACGCCGGA
This 914-nucleotide ribosomal RNA is filed under the name uncultured archaeon. RNAcentral describes it as "bacterial SSU rRNA". It matches the Rfam family "Archaeal small subunit ribosomal RNA", at positions 1 to 922 of the family's 1478-position model. The record is from RNAcentral.